This 463-nucleotide long non-coding RNA is filed under the name Cottoperca gobio. RNAcentral's name for it is "lncRNA (ENSCGOG00000017027.1)". Lineage: Eukaryota; Metazoa; Chordata; Actinopteri; Perciformes; Bovichtidae. The record is from RNAcentral.
GAAAAUGUUUAGUUGGGAAUUGGAUGUGUUACAAAAAAUGUCAACGGUUUAACUUUGCCCACUGGUCUAGAAUUGAGCAAGUUGAAUGUUGCUUGAUAUUAGCUAAGCUAAUUAACUAGCUAAUAUGCAUUAACUAAUGAUCUCCUGUUUCAGCAGCUUGAAUUUCAUCCACAUUUGCUCUGUAAGUUGACGUGUAAUUUUGGCUACGUGUUCAAGAUUUAAACGAGUGCAUUUUGAUCUGCUUGCUUCUGCCAGGGGGCAAGUCUGGGGGCGACAGGAUAUGAUGCAGACACAGAAGACACACAUGAUGAGAAGGACAUUUUGGAUGGGGAACCAGCUGCAUCUCAAGAAGCUGCGUCUCCACAACCGUCAGACGAGCUGGGAGGAGCUGAUGAUGAAACAGAACCAGCUGCAUCUCAAGAAGCUGCAUCUCCACAACCGUCAGACGAGCUGGGAGGGAUGA